UUUCCGUAGGUGAACCUGCGGAAGGAUCAUUACUGAGUGAGGGCCCCUCGGGGUCCAACCUACCACCCGUGUCCAACGAACUUUGUUGCUUCGGCGGGCCCGCCUCACGGCCGCCGGGGCGCAUUUCCCCCCGGUCCCGAACCCGCCGAAGCCACCUGUGAACGCUGUCUGAGGUAUGCAGUCUGAGACAAUUAUUAAAUUAAUUAAAACUUUCAACAACGGAUCUCUUGGUUCCG
Molecule: unclassified non-coding RNA, 236 nt
Filed under: plant metagenome
Description: partial contains small subunit ribosomal RNA, internal transcribed spacer 1, and 5.8S ribosomal RNA
Source: RNAcentral